UGGUCUUCAGGACCCCUCGCCUUUCUUUCCUAAACCCCGGCAGUAGAAGUUGUUUGCUCUCGGUGGGAAGGCUGUGCCCAUGAUCCUCGCCCCAAUCGUCGGAUCCGAAGUGUCGAUCCGGGACAUGGCUUCGGACAUCUCUUCCUCCUGCGUGUCCGGCCAUGUCUCCCUCACUAUAGCACUCAUCACCUCCUCACUAGCCUCCCUCACCUUCGCUAUAUGGAUAACGAAAAAAUUAUUAAUUAACAUUUUGACAUAAAUUUAAAAAUUUAAAAACAUAAGAUCGAUGACUUACAAUAUCCUCCUGGGAGUCAGGAUAUGCCUUCUCGUACGUAUAGACGUACCGGUUGACUUCUGGAUGUUCCCUGGCGGCCUCGUCCAUGAAGACAGCGAACGGUCUAGAACCGCCAUGAUGGUUCCUUGUGUUGCGUUGCCGGUUCUGAGAGUUUGCUCGGGAAACGGCCUUUAAAGAAAAAAUAAAUUAUUAGUAAAAUAUUUAAAAACGGACGUACUUAAUGACAAAUUAACUAAUUAAUUUUUUUAAAUACCUGUUUACGAGGGUUGUUGAAUUCUGAUGUCAGAAGCCAACGCCACUCGUACUCCCUAUACUGGAACUCAGCAGGGGUACUAGAACGUGCGUUCCCGUGCGUAGUCCAAUGGGUCCGCAACUCGUUCUUCCACUCCUUGUACCUACAGAUACAACAAAAAUAUUAGAAAUAUUAUUAAUAUCACAUACAAUUUUGUUUUUCAUUAACUUCCCAACGUACCUUCCCCCAUGCACAACGUCGGCCCAGCUGUCCUUAAGGUGCUCGGGAACCUCAAACCACACCUGUAUUUAACCGUUUAUUAGUUUAGUUUUUCGAGAAAUCAACAAUGUAAUACAUAAUAUUAUUUUGUAAACUCACCGACAUCGCGUUGUGGACCAUAUCCUUAACCUCCUGCGGGACCUCGCCCCAGUCUGACCACAACAUAGGGACUCUAUCCCUAAUGAGCGCUCCCACGCGGCCGGAGUACGUC
RNAcentral lists this long non-coding RNA (1017 nucleotides) under Fragaria vesca (wild strawberry). RNAcentral's name for it is "long non-coding RNA (FVES_LNC004255)". Lineage: Eukaryota; Viridiplantae; Streptophyta; Magnoliopsida; Rosales; Rosaceae. The record is from RNAcentral.